This 418-nucleotide ribosomal RNA is filed under the name uncultured bacterium. RNAcentral's name for it is "bacterial SSU rRNA". It matches the Rfam family "Bacterial small subunit ribosomal RNA", at positions 359 to 772 of the family's 1533-position model. The record is from RNAcentral.
UAAUGCACAAUGGGCGCAAGCCUGAUGCAGCCAUGCCGCGUGUAUGAAGAAGGCCUUCGGGUUGUAAAGUACUUUCACCGGGGAGGAANNGAGUAAAGUUAAUACCUUUGCUCAUUGACGUUACCCGCAGAAGAAGCCCCGGCUAACUCCGUGCCAGCAGCCGCGGUAAUACGGAGGGCGCAAGCGUUAAUCGGAAUUACUGGGCGUAAAGCGCACGCAGGCGGUUUGUUAAGUCAGAUGUGAAAUCCCCGGGCUCAACCUGGGAACUGCAUCUGAUACUGGCAAGCUUGAGUCUCGUAGAGGGGGGUAGAACUCCAGGUGUAGCGGUGAGAUGCGUAGAGAUCUGGAGGAAUACCGGUGGCGAAGGCGGCCCCCUGGACGAAGACUGACGCUCAGGUGCGAAAGCGUGGGGAGCAAA